AACGAACGCUGGCGGCAUGCCUAACACAUGCAAGUCGAACGAGACCUUCGGGUCUAGUGGCGCACGGGUGCGUAACGCGUGGGAAUCUGCCCUUGGGUUCGGAAUAACUCGCCGAAAGGCGUGCUAAUACCGGAUGAUGACGUAAGUCCAAAGAUUUAUCGCCCAAGGAUGAGCCCGCGUUGGAUUAGCUAGUUGGUGAGGUAAAGGCUCACCAAGGCGACGAUCCAUAGCUGGUCUGAGAGGAUGAUCAGCCACACUGGGACUGAGACACGGCCCAGACUCCUACGGGAGGCAGCAGUGGGGAAUAUUGGACAAUGGGCGAAAGCCUGAUCCAGCAAGGCCGCGUGAGUGAUGAAGGCCUUAGGGUUGUAAAGCUCUUUUACCCGGGAUGAUAAUGACCGUACCGGGAGAAUAAGCUCCGGCUAACUCCGUG
RNAcentral lists this ribosomal RNA (433 nucleotides) under uncultured bacterium. Its description in RNAcentral is "partial 16S ribosomal RNA". It matches the Rfam family "Bacterial small subunit ribosomal RNA", at positions 29 to 507 of the family's 1533-position model. The record is from RNAcentral.